Molecule: long non-coding RNA, 513 nt
Organism: Diachasmimorpha longicaudata
Lineage: Eukaryota; Metazoa; Arthropoda; Insecta; Hymenoptera; Braconidae
Exons: 3
Source: RefSeq, a predicted model, not a curated record
UCAUUUCACUCCAUGUAUGUUUAACAAAUGACACCGCAUCGUGUACUUGCGCGUGAAUACAGCACGACAUAUUGGACAUACUGUAUCUCCUCUGUGAAUACUACGAUGAUGUGCUAGUGAGUCACCACGUGUGUAGAUUUUUCCACAAACAUCACAAACCCAUCGUGUACCAUCCUCGUGAUGAUGUCGAGGUCUUCGUCUUUCAUAACCGUGAGUGGUGUGGUGAGAUGGACGAAGGCACGAUUCGGUAUUUGAUUCUGCGCACACAAUCCAAAGUGUUUCCCAUACACACACAGCCUCAAUAGAGUGAGAUUUUUGCAUAAUAGGCAACUACUGGAAUAUCGUCUUUGCUACUUAUGUUAAGAAUUAUUAAUGUUGGUGCUACGGAGGUGGAAUAUGAGGGAUAUCCCGGAGUUCAUGGAAUUCCGCGAAACAUGGCCAUCGACAAAGACAGGCAUUGCAGGCCCAACAUUUGAAGCGUGUCUGCCUAAGUUUUCCACGUGACGUAAAUAC